GGUUGAUCCUGCCAGUAGUCAUAUGCUUGUUUCGAAGAUUAAGCCAUGCAAGUCUAAGUAUAAGUUUUAAUACAACGAAACUGCGAAAAGCUCAUUAUAACACUUAUAACCAUUGCGACGUAUAGUUAUAUGGAUAUCCAUGGUAACUCUGGAGUUAAUACAUGCACUAUGCCACUCGUUGGUACUGUCAUGAUAAUAUUCUGUCAAGGCUUGCCUUGUCUAUGAAUGACGUGACGUUGAUAAUUGCUUUUGCAAUAAGUCGCUUUUGUUUGUGACCUAUCAGCUUUGUUGG
RNAcentral lists this ribosomal RNA (292 nucleotides) under uncultured eukaryote. Its description in RNAcentral is "partial 18S ribosomal RNA". It matches the Rfam family "Eukaryotic small subunit ribosomal RNA", at positions 6 to 328 of the family's 1831-position model. The record is from RNAcentral.